Molecule: long non-coding RNA, 1010 nt
Organism: Callithrix jacchus (white-tufted-ear marmoset)
Lineage: Eukaryota; Metazoa; Chordata; Mammalia; Primates; Cebidae
Source: RefSeq, a predicted model, not a curated record
CGCCCUCUCGGAACGGAAGCCACAGGACCCCCGCAGCGGCACCAGCAGUUGGUUGCCUCACACGUCCUUUCGAAAGGGUUCUUUCUUCUCAUUGGUUGUUGCGGCCGUAGCGUCUAAAAGCUCUUCGCUAUUGGGUUAAAUGUUUGUCAUUGCACCUACUCGCCCCGCCUAACUCUUGGAGGCAGGGGCUUUGGCAGCCCCAAAGGUCAUUGGCUGGCCAGGCUGUCAGUCAGGCAGAUAACGGCGCAGGGUCUGCGGUGGGGAGUGGGUGACCUGAAGCGAGCGUGCGCGGGGGCGGCGGGCCUCCAAGUUCUAGGCCAAGUCUCCGAGAGUGAAGCCAUCUGUGACCUGAGCCGACUUCCCCUCUGCUGCCGCUGUUCUAAGCGGCCUCUCCACGCUGUCGAGUAAAAGUACAGUUCUGCCUUAGUACAGUUCUUCUGAAUGUUGCGGGACCUAGCCCCGCGGCCUGGCAGUCUGGUCAGUGCCCAGCGGGAACCACCUUCCCGCUCCCUCUGGUCCCGCGGCCCCUUUAACCCGAAAGCUGCUCUCUUCGUGCCCCAGGGACAGGCUUCGGGCGUGCAGAUGCGCCAAGGGUCAGGCCAGCUUGAGUCAGGCGCUCCGGCGCUUUCCUGUAGGAUCUAGGAAUGUCCCCGAAUUCUAGGGUAGGCAUCAACGAGACCAGCUUGGUUAUGUUUUUGUUGGUUCCUAUCCUGUUACCUCCCCGCCGUGGAUCCCAACGCAAAUGCUAAUCCAGCCCCAAAGGUAUAAUUUACAUAGAAGCACACUCUUUCACAACCUGAACACACUCCUGUAACCAGCACCUAGAUCAGGAAACAGAACGGUACCUGCACCUCAGAAUACCCCCUCAUGCUUGGGCCUGGUUCACUCCGCCUGACCUACCUAGGAUGGCCACGACCACGUCGUCGCGCAGGAUCUCGAUGGAGCCUCGGGAGAUGAAGUAGAGCGUGGAGAGCACGUCGCCGAGGUGCACCAGCGUGUCCCCAGGUGGC